RNAcentral lists this ribosomal RNA (495 nucleotides) under uncultured bacterium. Its description in RNAcentral is "partial 16S ribosomal RNA". It matches the Rfam family "Bacterial small subunit ribosomal RNA", at positions 28 to 505 of the family's 1533-position model. The record is from RNAcentral.
GGCGAGCGCUGGCGGCGUGCCUAAUACAUGCAAGUUGAGCGCUGAAGGUUGGUACUUGUACCAACUGGAUGAGCAGCGAACGGGUGAGUAACGCGUGGGGAAUCUGCCUUUGAGCGGGGGACAACAUUUGGAAACGAAUGCUAAUACCGCAUAAAAACUUUAAACACAAGUUUUAAGUUUGAAAGAUGCAAUUGCAUCACUCAAAGAUGAUCCCGCGUUGUAUUAGCUAGUUGGUGAGGUAAAGGCUCACCAAGGCGAUGAUACAUAGCCGACCUGAGAGGGUGAUCGGCCACAUUGGGACUGAGACACGGCCCAAACUCCUACGGGAGGCAGCAGUAGGGAAUCUUCGGCGAUGGACGAAAGUCUGACCGAGCAACGCCGCGUGAGUGAAGAAGGUUUUCGGAUCGUAAAACUCUGUUGGUAGAGAAGAACGUUGGUGAGAGUGGAAAGCUCAUCAAGUGACGGUAACUACCCAGAAAGGGACGGCUAACUACG